GACUUUUCUGAAUUCUGGUUGACUUUUCUGCACUGCAACCGUUUGAUCUUCAACCUUUCUUUCCUUUUCUUGAGUCUAAGACUUUCAUCUUCAACUCCAUUCUUCACUUUCUCAAAAAUGCUACAAAACNAGACGUGAAUCAAAAAGAAAAACAACUAAAGUUGCCAAGAUUUGAAAGAGCACCAAGGACUCUUCCAAACUUGGACUUUAUAAAGGCCUUUUACAAACCAAAAGAAAANAAAAGAAGGCUAACAGAAGCCUAUUACAAAUUAAAUCUAAAGCUACCAGUGGGCUAACACAAACCCAAUAGAAAUACAAACAAAACAAAAAAAAAUUGAAACUAUUCUACUGCUCCUCAGCUACGGUCCAAAUCUUUUUGUACCCACAUUCUCGUGCCACGUUUGGUUGCUUCUUGACAGUUUCUGGACAACUUCGAUAUGCUCUUGCUUACUUCUACAUCAUCAGUGAUCUGNAGUCUCCUAACUAGUCCAAUCCUACCAAUACAACCAAUACACAUGCACAGUUUAAUAUUCUCUUGUUUAAAACAGAUGGAACCAAAGAAGAUAUAGGGCAGUAAGAACUUCCCUGUCUUAAUGAGCUUGUACACUUGAUGCAACUAGGAAUUUUGUUUUCUUUCCACGAAAAAUUGUU
Molecule: long non-coding RNA, 651 nt
Filed under: Vigna radiata
Lineage: Eukaryota; Viridiplantae; Streptophyta; Magnoliopsida; Fabales; Fabaceae
Description: long non-coding RNA (VRAD_LNC000822)
Source: RNAcentral